Molecule: long non-coding RNA, 3142 nt
Filed under: Homo sapiens (human)
Lineage: Eukaryota; Metazoa; Chordata; Mammalia; Primates; Hominidae
Description: HSALNT0095549
Source: RNAcentral
AUUACAGGCGUGAGCCACCAUGCCCGGCCACGUAUCUGGGAGUUAAAACCACCAUAUCUGGGAGUUCUUGGCCAGGCCGUGUCAUAUUGUCAUUCCUGACAAUAGAGGAAGAUUAGAACUGCACCUGACAAUAGAGGAAGAUUAGAACUGCAUCAGAAUUUUGUUUUCUGGACCACACUAUUGCAGUCCCCAGAAGAGUGUCACGGGUCAGCCACUGCUGAACACAAGGAUGAGGACAGUCGGAAUGCUAAAUGCCCAGCCCAGCCCACCCAGCCCAGUCCAAAAGCAGCCUUUUUUUUCCUUUUUCUUUUCUUUUUUUUUUCUUAGUGAAAUAGUAACAGACUAUAGGGAGGCAAUAGCUGUCUCUGGGACUAUCAAGACACCAGCUCAGCUGCGCAGCAGACAAAUGUCACUUUUCUGAUACAGGUGGCCCUAAUCAGAGAGAUCCUACUACAGCUGGUGCUCAAAAAUAACCUUUCCCCCUCUCUGAUUUACCCAGGCAAGUGAAAGAAGACAGACUCCAGGAUUACAUUCUCCAGAGCAUGAGCUGCGUAUAUCACUCGCGAACCUUCCAGACAACUGAAGAAUAACAAUGAAUACUGCCAUCUUCCCAGAGCUCCAGCACUAAUCUUUGUUAAGGCUUAGAGGAAACCACUUUUCUCAGUUUUGAUGUCUAUGAAUCUGCAAUCACUAAUGAAUGGGGAAAAGUCUGUGAAACAUUUAUUUCCUACAUCAAUGAUUAAAAUUAGCUGUUUUUAGAGCAGAAUGAACAACAUACAAAGCAGGUUGGACGACAUCUAUUUCACACAAUUGCAUCUCAGUUUCUGACCUAGGUAAAAUCCUGCAUAAAUGUAGGAGAAUCCUCUAUAUUAAUAUGUUCUGUAUUCAGGUUUAAGAGAUGUGCAUUUACAUUUACAUUUUAUUAAUUCAUCAACUGAUACUUAAGAAUUAAAACUCUCAAAAUCAGAAGACGAUGCUUUUUGGUAAAGAAAAAAAGAAACAGGCUAUAAGUAAAAACAGGUAUAAAAAUUAACACAAAACCUUUGAGUAAUGUAUUUAUCCUAUAAGCGGAAAAUUCUGAGAAUAAUGGAGGACUGAGGGGAUUAAAAUGCCACGCAGUAGAUGGACUAUUUCAGAUUUUAUAGUCAGGGAAACUGGCUUCGGGAGGACAGCUCUCAAUUCAUGUACUUUACGUAAGAGCAGUUCUUUCUAUAGGCCAUAAAGUUGUAGGUGAUACAAUCAACUGGGUUAUAAAAUAGCUUCUUUUUAGAAUGGAGAUGAUACAAAAAUCAAUUUCUACAACCAUCAUUUCCUCCUGAACACCUCUUUCACUUUCAACCUAAACUUACUCUCCCCUUUGGGAAUUCCCAGUGUAUUUCUUUGAGAUGUCUUCCACAUUAACAGUAGAGCCUACAAAGAACCAACAUGCAGAGGCUACUUGUCAAAGGGCACUUUCUGUAGGUAGUCUAAAAGAACACAAUUAUACACAUACACAAACGUGUACAGGUAUACGCAAAAGGGAAAAGGAGAUGCAAGAGUACUGUACUACUGCUUUAACAAAUGCUCUCACCCAAUCCACCUUAUCCAUCUUACAGGAUAGAAACACUAUUUAGGGUUUAAAAUACGCAAAAAAACAUUUUUUUUAAAUAUAUAAACCAUCUAUGGAAGCAUAUUUUGCCUUCUGUUAUGACCCUCAUCAUUCCUCAACUCAUAUUCUAAAAGCCUGAGAGGUGAAAAUCUUCUGAACAGCUGAACCACCCACAGAACCUGAAAAUUAUUAUACAUUUUGCACAUGAUUAACCUAUAUUCACCACUGAGGUUUAACCAAGAACCAGAUUCACAUAGGUAAUAGGGGUCACAACUACUUUUUCAUAAAAUAUACCCUCCUACUGGCCAGGUGAGGUGGCUCACGCCUGUAAUUCCAGCACUUCAGAUUGCUUGAGCCCAGGAAUUCAAGACCAGUCUGGGCAACAUGGCAAAACCCUGUCUCUACUAAAAAUACAAAAAUUAACUGGGUGUGGUGGCACAUGCCUGUAGUCCCAGCUACUUGGGGAGGCUGAGGUGGGAUGGCUUGAGCCUGGAAGGUGAAGGUUGCAGUGAGCCAAGAUCACGACUUUGUACUUAAGUCUGGGCAACAGAGCGAGACCCUGUCUCAAAAAAAAAAAAAAAAAAAAAAAAAAAAUCUAUGCAUCCAUCUAUCUAUACAAACACACAUCCUCCUACUUUACAUAAAUGUACAAUUCCAUGUCUAUUCUUAGCAUGUUUUCAGUUAAAAUUAGAUUACUGAUGUUUACAAGAAGCACGGUCAAAUGAUUUUUUUCAUUUUAUGUCAAUGUUUACACGCCAACCCUCCAGAAGGUUGGGACAAUGGGAAGAGGGCAUUGGACUGGAUGUAAAGCCUGAGGCCAGGGGUCUAGUUUUGUUAGGGUCUAGAUUCUCACCCCAGAAUCUUACCCCCUCAGGCAAUCACUCAAAUUGAAAUAUCACUUCUAUUGGUCCUGAUACUCUACUUCAGUAGUUAUCUUACUUCUUCCUUUGAAUGUAAACCAUUUAUAGCUAAGUAGAGUAUAUUUUAGUAUAAGAACACAGUGAAGGCUGGGUGCGGUGGCUCACACCUGUAAUCCCAGCACUUUGGGAGGCCGAGGCGGGCGGAUCACGAGGUCAAGAGCUCGAGACCAGCCUGACCAACAUAGUGAAACCCCGUCUCUACUAAAAAUAUAAAAAUUAGCUGGGCGUAGUGGCGCGCGCCUGUAAUCCCAGCUACUUGGGAGGCUGGGGCAGGAGAAUCGCUUGAACCUGGGAGGCGGAGGUUGCAGUGAGUGGAGAUCGCAACACUGCAUUCCAGCCUGGGCGACAGGGCGAGACUCCGUCUCAAAAAACAAACAAACAAAAAACACAUAGUGAAGACCAAACAAAAUUUCAUCUGUACUAAUAAUGACUCACGGUGGGCCAGAGCUCAAGUCAGUAUGUAAUAAGAAAGCAAAGGGAAAAAAAAAAUCAUUUACUUCACUAAAACUUCUGUUGUUUCUUUAAAACUCUAAACAAAAUUGACCCUAUAAGUAAAGAUAUUCAUUCUUAUCAUUUUUUAACAAGCAAAUUUUAAUAAUGCCUUUUAUUUCUAUACAAAGCAAUGUAACUUUCU